UACGUAGGGUGCAAGCGUUGUCCGGAAUUAUUGGGCGUAAAGAGCUUGUAGGCGGUUUGUCGCGUCUGCUGUGAAAUUUCGGGGCUCAACCCCGAACUUGCAGUGGGUACGGGCAGACUAGAGUGUGGUAGGGGAGACUGGAAUUCCUGGUGUAGCGGUGAAAUGCGCAGAUAUCAGGAGGAACACCGAUGGCGAAGUCAGGUCUCUGGGCCGAUACUGACGCUGAGGAGCGAAAGCGUGGGGAGCGAACAGG
This 253-nucleotide ribosomal RNA is filed under the name uncultured bacterium. Its description in RNAcentral is "partial 16S ribosomal RNA". It matches the Rfam family "Bacterial small subunit ribosomal RNA", at positions 524 to 776 of the family's 1533-position model. The record is from RNAcentral.